This 583-nucleotide ribosomal RNA is filed under the name uncultured bacterium. Its description in RNAcentral is "partial 16S ribosomal RNA". It matches the Rfam family "Bacterial small subunit ribosomal RNA", at positions 355 to 932 of the family's 1533-position model. The record is from RNAcentral.
UGGGGAAUAUUGCACAAUGGGCGCAAGCCUGAUGCAGCCAUGCCGCGUGUGUGAAGAAGGCCUUCGGGUUGUAAAGCACUUUCAGCGAGGAGGAAGGUGGUGAGCUUAAUACGCUCAUCAAUUGACGUUACUCGCAGAAGAAGCACCGGCUAACUCCGUGCCAGCAGCCGCGGUAAUACGGAGGGUGCAAGCGUUAAUCGGAAUUACUGGGCGUAAAGCGCACGCAGGCGGUUUGUUAAGUCAGAUGUGAAAUCCCCGGGCUCAACCUGGGAACUGCAUUUGAAACUGGCAAGCUAGAGUCUCGUAGAGGGGGGUAGAAUUCCAGGUGUAGCGGUGAAAUGCGUAGAGAUCUGGAGGAAUACCGGUGGCGAAGGCGGCCCCCUGGACGAAGACUGACGCUCAGGUGCGAAAGCGUGGGGAGCAAAACAGGAUUAGAUACCCUGGUAGUCCACGCUGUAAAACGAUGUCGAUUUUGGAGGUUGUGCCCUUGAGGCGUGGCUUCCGGAGUUAACGCGUUAAAUCGACCGCCUGGGGAGUACGGCCGCAAGGUUAAAACUCAAAGGAAUUGACGGGGUCAUAGCUG